GCAACAAGCAUGAAAAGGCACACC
RNAcentral lists this microRNA (24 nucleotides) under Vitis vinifera (wine grape). RNAcentral's name for it is "vvi-miR3638-3p". The record is from miRBase by way of RNAcentral. Lineage: Eukaryota; Viridiplantae; Streptophyta; Magnoliopsida; Vitales; Vitaceae.